AUGACCUUGCCUGAUGAGCCCAUCUGUGCAAUCAAGAUAUUUGAAUUUGUUAUGAAUAUAGAUUGUUUUCCAAAUAUCUAUAUUGCUUAUCGUAUUUUAUUUACUGUACUUGUGACUGUAGCUUCUGCCGAAUGUAGUUUUUGAAAACUAAAAUUGUUAAAAAAUUACUUGAGGUCAACAAUGUUGCAAGAGAUAUUGAACAGUUUAGCUACUAUAUGCAUUGAGAAGGAUCUACUGGACUAG
This 243-nucleotide ribosomal RNA is filed under the name Triticum aestivum (bread wheat). RNAcentral's name for it is "partial small subunit ribosomal RNA". The record is from RNAcentral. Lineage: Eukaryota; Viridiplantae; Streptophyta; Magnoliopsida; Poales; Poaceae.